This 1374-nucleotide ribosomal RNA is filed under the name Triticum aestivum (bread wheat). Its description in RNAcentral is "partial small subunit ribosomal RNA". Lineage: Eukaryota; Viridiplantae; Streptophyta; Magnoliopsida; Poales; Poaceae. The record is from RNAcentral.
AUGCAGAGCCGCACAAGUAGAAGCCCCGUCACCGGAAUAAUCUGCCAACUUAUGUUUCACCUGGAUCGGAUUGGAUUCUGUGUAGAUCGCAUUUUACUGAAUAAUCCCCACGAAAUCAAAUGGACCGUGGACCCUUGCCGACUCUUUGGCUGUCAACGCCGGCAGCUUGGAGCAACAUGUACACUUGUUCUUAAGUGCAGAUCGUACAUCAGAUACACCUGUUUCUUCAUAUUGAUUUUUCUAAACAGAGGUCGCACACACCAGGCUGUCAGUCCAACGCCCCACAUCAAGCUUAGUCAGGAGGAGCAGGACGCCCUCCAGCCGGCGGCCAUUCAACCAUGGGUCACAGCCGGGGUGCUGAGGGUGAGCUUGGCCGGUAUCCAUCCAUCCGGCGGCCAAGCAGGCCUGGGUCGCAGCCGAGGCAUCAUGGUCAACGAAGCCAUAAAUAACAUGGCUAUGGAUGAGCGAUGGCGGGCGCAGGUGAUGUUGGAGAGGAACGUGACCGUGGGAACGCCGGCACAAGCAGCGGUGGUGCAAAUCCAGCCGUCCGAACGCAGACGUGGCCGGCAAUGCUGCUCCAUCCAUAGAGGGAUUCGUCGGAGAUUUGAAGAACCUCGAUGCAAAGGGGUGGAUCCGGACUGCGGUGGCCAGCGGUGGCGACGCAUAGCGGAGGAGCGGCGCAAAGAAGAGGGGCGGCGGACGACGGUUGCCAGCGGUGGCGGCGCGCGGCGGAGGGGCGGGGGCCGGCUGCGGUGGCGCAUGGCAGGGGUCGGUGCCAUGUUGGAGCAUGGAGAUGCGCUCGAGGUGGAGAUGGGAGCUAGGCUGUCGCCGUGUCGCAUGGUACCAUAUAACUGGAAUUACCGAUGCAAGUUGAAGAAGGAUUGGCCCGUGCUGCCGGCUGGCGUCAAGUUCGAUCCCACAGAUCAGGAGCUGAUCGAGCACCUUGAGGCCAAAGUGAGUGCUGACAGCGCGGGAUUUCAGUCUCUCAUCAAUUUGUUCAUACCAACCAUCGACAGCGAGCACGGCAUAUGUUACACUCAACCUGAGAAACUUCCAGGUAUCACACUAAGUGGCCUAAGGAAGCAUUUCUUCCAGCGCAAUUCCAGGGCAUCCAAAAGGGGCGCGUGGACACGUCGCAAGAUACAGUCGGAGUGCGGCAUGCACGCGAUGUGGCACAAGACUGGCAAUACCUUGCCGGUGAUGGUCAACGGCCGGCAGACGGGCAGCAAAAAAGGUUCUGGUGCUGCACACCAACAAGAACUUCGACCAGCAGAGGACCAACUGGGUGAUGCACCAGUACCACCUCAGGGACUUGGAGCAAGAGAAGGAGCGGGAGCUGGUCCUCUGCAAGAUUUUCUACCAGAUGAACACUAG